Long non-coding RNA from Alosa alosa (allis shad), 225 nucleotides. RefSeq lists it as uncharacterized. The transcript has 3 exons. NCBI's taxonomy places the organism in Eukaryota, Metazoa, Chordata, Actinopteri, Clupeiformes, Clupeidae. The record is from RefSeq and is a predicted model, not a curated record.
AUUUUGUUUGUUCUGCAGCGUCAACUUUUAUCGGCUGGAUUCUAGCAUCUAACGUUACGAUUACCUCUGUUGGGUUUGCUUGAUCAACCAUCGUUUCGGGGACUCUGAUGACAGUGAAGAGCCAGAAAAUGGUGACUUUGCAUCUCUGAGGUACCUUCCAACUCGCCUGGUAUAUCAGUUGAAGCCUCAAGCCCAAGCCUAUUGCACUGGCAAACUCCACCAUGU